AAAUGAAUAGACGGGGGCCCGCACAAGCGGUGGAGCAUGUGGUUUAAUUCGAUGCAACGCGAAGAACCUUACCAGGUCUUGACAUCCAACGAACCUUUACGAAAGUAGGGGGUGCCUUCGGGAGCGUUGAGACAGGUGGUGCAUGGUUGUCGUCAGCUCGUGUCGUGAGAUGUUGGGUUAAGUCCCGCAACGAGCGCAACCCUUGCUAUUAGUUGCUAACAUUUAAGGUGAGCACUCUAAUGGGACUGCCUGUGACAAGCAGGAGGAAGGUGGGGACGACGUCAAAUCAUCAUGCCCUUUAUGAUCUGGGCUACACACGUGCUACAAUGGAUGGUACAGAGAGCAGCGAGACCGCGAGGUGGAGCGAAUCUCAAAAAGCCAUUCUCAGUUCGGAUUGCAGUCUGCAACUCGACUGCAUGAAGUCGGAAUCGCUAGUAAUCGCGAAUCAGCAUGUCGCGGUGAAUGCGUUCCCGGGCCUUGUACACACCGCCCGU
RNAcentral lists this ribosomal RNA (494 nucleotides) under uncultured bacterium. Its description in RNAcentral is "bacterial SSU rRNA". It matches the Rfam family "Bacterial small subunit ribosomal RNA", at positions 903 to 1397 of the family's 1533-position model. The record is from RNAcentral.